This 393-nucleotide transfer-messenger RNA is filed under the name Puniceicoccales bacterium. It matches the Rfam family "transfer-messenger RNA". From Rfam's summary of the family: Bacterial tmRNA, also known as 10Sa RNA or SsrA, is named for its dual tRNA and mRNA-like properties. Its role is to liberate the mRNA from a stalled ribosome. Lineage: Bacteria; Pseudomonadati; Verrucomicrobiota; Opitutia; Puniceicoccales. The record is from RNAcentral.
GGGGGUGUCUUGGAUUCGACGAUAAAUCGUAGGGUAUGGUAGCAUGUCAGGGAUGAUGGUUGGCCCUGUCAACAUCCAUCACAAAAGUUAAAUGGCAUUAGAAACAGAAGAAACAGAAAAGUCAUGAAACUCAGCUUUGGUAACAAAGCUAAACUUGCUGCUUAGUUAAAAGUGGCACGCGAUAUCUUCCAAUACUCGCUGAGAGGAUAUCGUGCCUAUUAAAGCGAGUAGUCUGCCCGUGAGCAUACACAUAGGCAUGACUUACAGAGUAUGCUCACCGUCAAAGGGUUGUUGUGGGCAAUUUUGACGGUUAAAAUAAGAUCACAACUAAACAUGUAGAAGCUCUAUCUGAACAUUUGUUGGACGCGGGUUCGAUUCCCGCCACCUCCACCA